RNAcentral lists this ribosomal RNA (253 nucleotides) under uncultured bacterium. RNAcentral's name for it is "partial 16S ribosomal RNA". It matches the Rfam family "Bacterial small subunit ribosomal RNA", at positions 524 to 776 of the family's 1533-position model. The record is from RNAcentral.
UACGGAGGGUGCGAGCGUUAAUCGGAAUUACUGGGCGUAAAGGGUGCGUAGGUGGUUAGAUAAGUUAGGUGUGAAAGUCCUGGGCUUAACCUGGGGAUUGCGCCUGAUACUGUGUAGCUAGAGUACUGUAGAGGAAAGUGGAAUUUCCGGUGUAGCGGUGAAAUGCGUAGAUAUCGGAAGGAACAUCGGUGGCGAAGGCGACUUUCUGGACAGAUACUGACACUGAGGCACGAAAGCAUGGGGAGCAAACAGG